CCCUUAGAUGUUCUGGGCUGCACGCGCGCUACACUGAAGCGUUCAACGAGUAUUCACCUUGCCCGGGAGGGUUGGGUAAUCUUUUGAAAACGCUUCGUGAUGGGGAUAGAUUAUUGCAAUUAUUAAUCUUCAACGAGGAAUUCCUAGUAAACGCAAGUCAUCAGCUUGCAUUGAUUACGUCCCUGCCCUUUGUACACACCGCCCGUCGCACCUACCGAUUGAAUGGUCCGGUGAAAUCUUCGGAUCUGAGAGAUGUCUGAUUAAUUUCGGACGCCUUUUGGAAAAGUUGUUUAAACCUUACCAUUUAGAGGAAGGUGAAGUCGUAACA
RNAcentral lists this ribosomal RNA (328 nucleotides) under uncultured eukaryote. RNAcentral describes it as "partial 18S ribosomal RNA". It matches the Rfam family "Eukaryotic small subunit ribosomal RNA", at positions 1470 to 1796 of the family's 1831-position model. The record is from RNAcentral.